GUAGGUGGCAAGCGUUGUCCGGAAUUAUUGGGCGUAAAGCGCGCGCAGGCGGUUCUUUAAGUCUGAUGUGAAAGCCCACGGCUCAACCGUGGAGGGUCAUUGGAAACUGGAGAACUUGAGUACAGAAGAGGAAAGCGGAAUUCCACGUGUAGCGGUGAAAUGCGUAGAGAUGUGGAGGAACACCAUUGGCGAAGGCGGCUUUCUGGUCUGUAACUGACGCUGAGGCGCGAAAGCGUGGGGAGCAAACAGGAUUAGAUACCCUGGUAGUCCACGCCGUAAACGAUGAGUGCUAAGUGUUAGGGGGGUUUUCCGCCCCCCUUAGUGCUGCAGCUAACGCAUUAAGCACUCCGCCUGGGAUACGGCCGCAAGGCUG
Molecule: ribosomal RNA, 373 nt
Filed under: uncultured organism
Description: partial 16S ribosomal RNA
Rfam family: Bacterial small subunit ribosomal RNA
Source: RNAcentral